This 430-nucleotide unclassified non-coding RNA is filed under the name Hevea brasiliensis (rubber tree). Lineage: Eukaryota; Viridiplantae; Streptophyta; Magnoliopsida; Malpighiales; Euphorbiaceae. The record is from RNAcentral.
GAAAAAUAAAUAAUAUCAGGGGCCGUCCACACUGAUGCAUUUAAAGGUUGCACUGUCAUCCAAAAAUUAACCCCGAGAUACACAUCAAACUUUGGAAUUUGAUUCUUGGCAUCGUAAUUUCCGUACUUGAAGAAUGCUCUGAUAAGGUAAUUUUGAUUUUUGCCUUGCUCAGGUCUCAAUGUGUAGCAAUUCUUUCUUCCUUUCGGAAAGAACCUUAUACUCUGAACUAGACGCCCAAAAUAAGGAUCCUUAUCAUCAUAUUCAGGGGAUAUGUAGUCGUUCUCUCCGGUGCUUAUAAAAUCUUUGUCAGACUUAUAAAAUAUUCCAGUUUCUUCGUCGAAAUAAUCUUGAUCCACCCCACAGUCAAUGCUUAUGAAACCUUAGAAUUUUUGGGGGGGACGAAAAAAGUUAAUUGGAUAUUCUACUAAAU